RNAcentral lists this long non-coding RNA (1175 nucleotides) under Helianthus annuus (common sunflower). RNAcentral's name for it is "hypothetical non coding rna". The record is from RNAcentral. Lineage: Eukaryota; Viridiplantae; Streptophyta; Magnoliopsida; Asterales; Asteraceae.
UUUUUUCUACUCUUCUCUCUAUACGUUGGUGUUGUAACCAAUAAUCACCAAAGCGAUGUUCUGUCCAAUCGAUGCAGGAACCAACAAACAAAUGCCAAAGUGUUGUACUUUGUGAAUUUUGGUAAACGGAAUCCAAAGUACUAUACUUUGUGAAUUUCGGUAAACGGAAUCCAAAGUACUAUACUUUGUGAAUUUUGGUAAACGGAAUCCAAAGUGUUAUACUUUGUGAAUUUUGUUAAGGUUCGAAUCUCGUGACUACCGUUAGGUUUGAUUUGGGUUUUAUACAAAUACGUAUUCCAUUCUGUUAAACUAUAUGUUUAACUACCAGAAUACUCCCAACCACACACUUACAAUCAAACAAGCUGUUAAGUCAUCAGAAGAUUCAAAUCAAUAAACUAUAUGCUUAAUUAUCAGAAGGAGUAGAAUCAAGAAGCUUGUUAAAUCAAUACUGCAUGCUUAUACUGUAAUUACAGUAGAUUAGAGUAAGAAUUGGAUACGACACUGAAGGGCUUCAAGAAGUGGCUUAUUUUAUCAAUUAAAUCGAAUUAAGAAAUAUUGUUUUAUAUAAUUGGGUUUAUCCCUUAUUAAAGCUACCUUUAUAAAACAUGGAUUUACUCCAUCUAUUUAAUAAAUAAAAUCCGGUGUUUUCUAAACUCUGAUAUUUUUCCUAACUCACGGUCCUGAUGAAAUUUCCGCUGCAAUAUUUUUUAAAAUAAUCACCGAUACCACUGGGCUGUUCGCGGCUCCCGAUUCCGUCCAGUGUGGGUCGGGGGUCGUGACAAUAUAACAGUCAAAUAACUGUUGACUGACUACAGAGGAUAAAAUUGCGACAUAACAUCAACGUUGGGGUAAAAUUGUAAUUAUUUCGUUAGAAGGGGUCAGAGUGCCAAUUGGCCUAAACCCCAGGGGGUAAAAAUGUUGUUUACUCUUUACAAAGUUGUGGCUAAUUAGUUACACUUCUCCCCUUCCAUAGCAAACUUAUAAUUAUUUUACGUAUUCUUAUCAUAUCUUAUAAACUAUAAUGUUUUAAAAAAAUCCAAAGGUACCUUGUUGACCUACUCAUUUUUGUUUACGUUUCGAUAGUUGCCUUGGUCAGUAUUGUUGUACGGAUUAAACUGUACAAGUAGAUGAUGCAUUAGUGUACAAGUGAUUAAUACAAUGUGUCCUAUCAUAUU